Helianthus annuus (common sunflower) is the source of this 320-nucleotide long non-coding RNA. RefSeq lists it as uncharacterized. The record is from RefSeq and is a predicted model, not a curated record. The transcript has 3 exons. Lineage: Eukaryota; Viridiplantae; Streptophyta; Magnoliopsida; Asterales; Asteraceae.
CUGAAUAUGAAGACGGACCUGGCGAAAGUCAUCUUUUAGAAUUCAUAUUUCGGAAUAUUGAUGGUUCCGGUGAUCCUUAUAUUCAUUACCUUGAUGAGAUGGAAUGAUCUUUGCAAUGCCUGGAUGUAAUGGGUCUGAUUAUAUCAUGAGGAUAUUGAAUUCGGAUGGUAGCGAGCCCGAGAUGUGAGGUAAUGGAGUUUGUUGCUUUGCAAAGUUUAUUUCAGGUAUUAAUAACUUAAAUUGAAGGCAAAGGUAUUUUUUUAGUUCUAUAUACAAAUUUCAUGCUUUGUUGUAUUGUUUUGGUGUAGCAGGUCUGUGGU